RNAcentral lists this ribosomal RNA (446 nucleotides) under uncultured organism. RNAcentral describes it as "partial 16S ribosomal RNA". It matches the Rfam family "Bacterial small subunit ribosomal RNA", at positions 333 to 796 of the family's 1533-position model. The record is from RNAcentral.
ACCCUCCUGCGGGAGGCAGCAGUGGGGAAUAUUGGACAAUGGGCGCAAGCCUGAUCCAGCCAUGCCGCGUGAGUGAUGAAGGCCCUAGGGUUGUAAAGCUCUUUCACCGGUGAAGAUAAUGACGGUAACCGGAGAAGAAGCCCCGGCUAACUUCGUGCCAGCAGCCGCGGUAAUACGAAGGGGGCUAGCGUUGUUCGGAUUUACUGGGCGUAAAGCGCACGUAGGCGGACUAUUAAGUCAGGGGUGAAAUCCCGGGGCUCAACCCCGGAACUGCCUUUGAUACUGGUAGUCUUGAGUUCGAGAGAGGUGAGUGGAAUUCCGAGUGUAGAGGUGAAAUUCGUAGAUAUUCGGAGGAACACCAGUGGCGAAGGCGGCUCACUGGCUCGAUACUGACGCUGAGGUGCGAAAGCGUGGGGAGCAAACAGGAUUAGAAACCCCGGUAGUCC